Paramuricea clavata is the source of this 67-nucleotide non-coding RNA. The record is from the annotation of a GenBank genome assembly. Lineage: Eukaryota; Metazoa; Cnidaria; Anthozoa; Malacalcyonacea; Plexauridae.
AGAUAGAUUUCAGAACCAUCCUCAGAGAUAGUUUUCCUAUCUCUGAGGAUGGUUCUGAAAAAGUUUU